GAAGAGAAAAGAAGGAAUCAAUUGAUGAGGGGAAGACAAGAAUGAACCGACAAAUUUGAAAAAGAAUAGAAAAAGAAUAUUAAUGAUUUAGAGUAAUUUGUCAUAGCUUUGAUUGAAUGAAGUGAGAGUGGAAAGAAUAGAAAAAGAAGUCAAAAAGAAUAAAAAUUGAGAUUUUUUAAAUUAAUAAAAAAUAAGUAGAU
RNAcentral lists this long non-coding RNA (200 nucleotides) under Vigna radiata. RNAcentral describes it as "long non-coding RNA (VRAD_LNC018008)". Lineage: Eukaryota; Viridiplantae; Streptophyta; Magnoliopsida; Fabales; Fabaceae. The record is from RNAcentral.